CUCUCGAAUAAUAUACAGACCGUUCUGGAAACCGACACAGGUGGGCAAGCUGAGAAGGCUAAAGGGAGCGGAAGAACCUCCGUUAAGGAACUAGGCAAAAUGACCUCGUAACUUCGGGAAAAGAGGUGCUCCUAAAGGUGUCAAAACCGGAAGGAGUUGCAGUGACAAGGCCCUGCCGACUGUUUACCAAAAACACAGGUCUAUGCGAAUUCGGAAAGAAGAAGUAUAUGGACUGACGCCUGCCCAGUGCUGGAAGGUUAAGGGGAGUGGUGCAAGCUACGAACCGAAGCCCCAGUAAACGGCGGCCGUAACAAUAACGGUCCUAAGGUAGCGAAAUUCCUUGUCGGGUAAGUUCCGACCUGCAUGAAUGGCGUAACGAGUUGGGCGCUGUCUCAACGGAGGAUCCGGUGAAAUUCCAGACUGGGUGAAGAUGCCCAGGACCCGCAGUUAGACGGAAGGACCCCAUGGAGUUUUACUGUAACUUGAUAUUGUAAUUUGUUGUUAUGUGUACAGGAUAGGUGGGAGGCUAAGAGUCAAGGUCGUCAGAUUUUGAGGAGCCGACGGUGGGAUACCACCCUCAUGAUAAUGGAUUACUAACUAUUGUGUAUGAAGAGUACAGAUAGGACAGUGUUAGGUGGGCAGUUUGACUGGGGCGGUCGCAUCCUAAAGAGUAUCGGAUGCGUGCGAAGGUAGGUUCAGGUUGGUUGGAAAUCAACCGUUGAGUGCAAGGGCAAAGGCCUGCCUGACUGCGAGACUGACAGGUCGAGCAGAAGCGAAAGCUGGUCCUAGUGACCCGGCCGAUCCGAGUGGAAGGGCGGUCGAUCAACGGAUAAAAGUUACCCUGGGGAUAACAGGCUAAUCACGCCCGAGAGUUCACAUCGACGGCGUGGAUUGGCACCUCGAUGUCGGCUCAUCGCAUCCUGGGGCUGAAGCAGGUCCCAAGGGUUGUGCUGUUCGCACAUUAAAGCGGUACGUGAGCUGGGUUCAGAACGUCGUAAGACAGUUCGGUCCCUAUCUGCUGUGGGUGAAGGAAGCUUGAAGGGAGUCGCUUCUAGUACGAGAGGACCGAAGUGAGUGUACCUCUGGUGAACCAGCUGUCAGGCCAAUGGCAGGAGCUGGGUAGCUAAGUACGUAACAGAUAACCGCUGAAAGCAUCUAAGCGGGAAACUGACCCUAAGAUGGAGCUUCCCAUUCGAAAGAAGUAAGGGUUGUUCGAGACUAGGACGUUGAUAGGUCGCAGGUGUAAGUGCAGUGAUGUAUUGAGCCGAGCGAUACUAAUAGCCCGAGGCUUUGGACC
This 1297-nucleotide ribosomal RNA is filed under the name metagenome. RNAcentral describes it as "bacterial LSU rRNA". It matches the Rfam family "Bacterial large subunit ribosomal RNA", at positions 1623 to 2925 of the family's 2925-position model. The record is from RNAcentral.